This 72-nucleotide transfer RNA is filed under the name Ovis aries (sheep). It matches the Rfam family "tRNA". Rfam says of the family: Transfer RNA (tRNA) molecules are approximately 80 nucleotides in length. Their secondary structure includes four short double-helical elements and three loops (D, anti-codon, and T loops). The record is from Rfam by way of RNAcentral. Lineage: Eukaryota; Metazoa; Chordata; Mammalia; Artiodactyla; Bovidae.
UCCCUGAUAGCUCAGUAGGUAAAGAACCUGCCUGAAAUGCGGGAGAACUGGGUUCGAUCCCUGGGUAGGGAA